RNAcentral lists this long non-coding RNA (207 nucleotides) under Mytilus galloprovincialis (Mediterranean mussel). The record is from RNAcentral. Lineage: Eukaryota; Metazoa; Mollusca; Bivalvia; Mytilida; Mytilidae.
GUAAAUAAUUGGAAUUACUUGUGCAUGCCAUUAUAGCUAUAAAUUCAUAUUGUGCAUUUGAAUAUUAUUUACAUAAACAGUGCUAUGAAAUUAUUAAAUGAAAUAAAAGAUUAUGAUAUAAAUAUAAAUAUACACCUAAUCCAGCUAUUUUGGGAGACAUUGUGUGGAUUCCAAUUUACCAUACUCAAUGGAAAGUAAUUGCAAGAC